Molecule: long non-coding RNA, 519 nt
Organism: Erpetoichthys calabaricus (reedfish)
Lineage: Eukaryota; Metazoa; Chordata; Cladistia; Polypteriformes; Polypteridae
Exons: 2
Source: RefSeq, a predicted model, not a curated record
CUCAGGUUUCAAAUACUUAAAGGUUGAGAAACGCUGUGUCGCAGUGAUAACAAACCCACUGUAGUAGAUCAGGUUGAAUUUGCUCUGCUGCACCAAACAUUCAAAGGUGUCAAUCUGGAGCACAUCAGAGAGGCUGAGAGACACAGUGCAGAUCAGUCACCAGCACACAGACACACACGGGACACUCCAUGGUGAGCAGUGCAUGUACCAAGUGAGCAUUACACGUAUCAAGGUUGGCAUUAAAGAUCCUCUUGAGUUCUGAGGCAACAACACAAAGCAGCGGGAUAAACACAUCUGGACCUGCUGCCGAAAAAGCAUUUGCUUUUAACAGCAGCAUCCCUCCCUCGUGAACACAUCUUCAAGGUCCGGACAGGCGAUCAGUAAAACGUUGUCUUAGUCACAGCACAGUGCAAUAAUAAAACAUUUCCUAAAACAUAUAGUUGUCCAGUCUGUAUCAUUCCUAAGCAAUCUUCCAGUUAUAGAGGCGCAAUCCCAGUUACUAACACAUUUACUGUGUAG